GAGUUUGAUCCUGGCUCAGGACGAACGCUGGCGGCGUGCUUAACACAUGCAAGUCGAGCGAUGAAGUUCCUUCGGGAACGGAUUAGCGGCGGACGGGUGAGUAACACGUGGGUAACCUGCCUCAUAGAGGGGAAUAGCCUUCCGAAAGGAAGAUUAAUACCGCAUAAGAUUGUAGUUUCGCAUGAAACAGCAAUUAAAGGAGUAAUCCGCUAUGAGAUGGACCCGCGUCGCAUUAGCUAGUUGGUGAGGUAACGGCUCACCAAGGCGACGAUGCGUAGCCGACCUGAGAGGGUGAUCGGCCACAUUGGGACUGAGACACGGCCCAGACUCCUACGGGAGGCAGCAGUGGGGAAUAUUGCACAAUGGGGGAAACCCUGAUGCAGCAACGCCACGUGAGUGAUGAAGGUCUUCGGAUUGUAAAACUCUGUCUUCAGGGACGAUAAUGACGGUACCUGAGGAGGAAGCCACGGCUAACUACGUGCCAGCAGCCGCGGUAAUACGUAGGUGGCA
This 510-nucleotide ribosomal RNA is filed under the name uncultured bacterium. RNAcentral's name for it is "bacterial SSU rRNA". It matches the Rfam family "Bacterial small subunit ribosomal RNA", at positions 9 to 536 of the family's 1533-position model. The record is from RNAcentral.